CAUGGCUCAGGUUGAACGCUAGCGAUAGGCUUAACACAUGAAAGUCGAGGGGCAGCAUGGUCUUAGCUUGCUAAGACUGAUGGCGACCGGCGCACGGGUGCGUAACGCGUAUGUAACUUGUAUCACAGAGGGGGAUAACCCGUCGAAAGACGGACUAAUACCGCGUACACUUGGGAUAGGGCAUCCUACUCCAAGGAAAUGAAAUUCGCUGUGAGAUAGGCAUGCGUUCCAUUAGCUAGUUGGUGAGGUAACGGCUCACCAAGGCGACGAUGGGUAGGGGAACUGAGAGGAUGAACCGCCACACUGGUACUGAGACACGGACCAGACUCCUACGG
Molecule: ribosomal RNA, 335 nt
Filed under: uncultured bacterium
Lineage: Bacteria
Description: bacterial SSU rRNA
Rfam family: Bacterial small subunit ribosomal RNA
Source: RNAcentral